Molecule: non-coding RNA, 97 nt
Organism: Coemansia sp. RSA 2611
Lineage: Eukaryota; Fungi; Kickxellomycota; Kickxellomycetes; Kickxellales; Kickxellaceae
Source: the annotation of a GenBank genome assembly
CCGAAAAUAGCUCAGCGGUAGAGCGGGAGACUGUAGUUUGUUCAGUACACUUGAUGUGGUUAUCUCUAGGUCCCUGGUUCAAAUCCGGGUUUUCGGA